GUGGGGAAUUUUGGACAAUGGGCGAAAGCCUGAUCCAGCAAUGCCGCGUGUGUGAAGAAGGCCUUCGGGUUGUAAAGCACUUUUGUUCGGGAAGAAAAGGACUGGGCUAAUAUCCUGGUCUGAUGACGGUACCGGAAGAAUAAGCACCGGCUAACUACGUGCCAGCAGCCGCGGUAAUACGUAGGGUGCAAGCGUUAAUCGGAAUUACUGGGCGUAAAGCGUGCGCAGGCGGUUUGUUAAGACAGAUGUGAAAUCCCCGGGCUCAACCUGGGAACUGCAUUUGUGACUGGCAAGCUAGAGUCUGGCAGAGGGGGGUGGAAUUCCGCGUGUAGCAGUGAAAUGCGUAGAUAUGCGGAGGAACACCGAUGGCGAAGGCAGCCCCCUGGGCCAACACUGACGCUCAUGCACGAAAGCGUGGGGAGCAAACAGG
This 430-nucleotide ribosomal RNA is filed under the name uncultured Burkholderiaceae bacterium. RNAcentral describes it as "bacterial SSU rRNA". It matches the Rfam family "Bacterial small subunit ribosomal RNA", at positions 354 to 776 of the family's 1533-position model. Lineage: Bacteria; Pseudomonadati; Pseudomonadota; Betaproteobacteria; Burkholderiales; Burkholderiaceae. The record is from RNAcentral.